Molecule: ribosomal RNA, 151 nt
Filed under: Bacteroides thetaiotaomicron
Lineage: Bacteria; Pseudomonadati; Bacteroidota; Bacteroidia; Bacteroidales; Bacteroidaceae
Description: partial 16S ribosomal RNA
Rfam family: Bacterial small subunit ribosomal RNA
Source: RNAcentral
CUUUUACAAUGAAGAGUUUGAUCCUGGCUCAGGAUGAACGCUAGCUACAGGCUUAACACAUGCAAGUCGAGGGGCAGCAGGAUCUAGCAAUAGAUUGCUGGCGACCGGCGCACGGGUGAGUAACACGUAUCCAACCUGCCGAUAACUCGGG